GCUUACGGCCAUACCACCCUGAGAACGCCCGAUCUCGUCUGAUCUCGGAAACUAAGCAGGGUCGGGCCUGGUUAGUACUUGGAUGGGAGACCGCCUGGGAAUACCAGGUGCUGUAAGCU
RNAcentral lists this ribosomal RNA (119 nucleotides) under Takifugu flavidus (sansaifugu). Lineage: Eukaryota; Metazoa; Chordata; Actinopteri; Tetraodontiformes; Tetraodontidae. The record is from RNAcentral.